This is a small nucleolar RNA of Apodemus sylvaticus (European woodmouse), 131 nucleotides long. RefSeq annotates it as small nucleolar RNA SNORA17. The transcript has a single exon. The record is from RefSeq and is a predicted model, not a curated record. Lineage: Eukaryota; Metazoa; Chordata; Mammalia; Rodentia; Muridae.
CCUGUCCUGAGAGGCAUGCAGGCGUGGCCGCUGUGUCACAUGUGUGUCAGUAGGUGGCAGAGAAGAGAGAGGCUAUGUCCAAGCUCAGGGUUCGGAACGGUGAACAUUUGAAUGAUUAGUAGGCUAACGCU